This 72-nucleotide transfer RNA is filed under the name Bos taurus (domestic cattle). It matches the Rfam family "tRNA". From Rfam's summary of the family: Transfer RNA (tRNA) molecules are approximately 80 nucleotides in length. Their secondary structure includes four short double-helical elements and three loops (D, anti-codon, and T loops). Further hydrogen bonds mediate the characteristic L-shaped molecular structure. tRNAs have two regions of fundamental functional importance: the anti-codon, which is responsible for specific mRNA codon recognition, and the 3' end, to which the tRNAs corresponding amino acid is attached (by aminoacyl-tRNA synthetases). tRNAs cope with the degeneracy of the genetic code in two manners: having more than one tRNA (with a specific anti-codon) for a particular amino acid; and 'wobble' base-pairing, i.e. permitting non-standard base-pairing at the 3rd anti-codon position. RNAcentral also lists the same sequence under 2 other names. Lineage: Eukaryota; Metazoa; Chordata; Mammalia; Artiodactyla; Bovidae. The record is from Rfam by way of RNAcentral.
UCCCUGGUGGCUCAGAUGGUAAAGCAUCUGACUGCAAAGCAGGAGACCUGGGUUCAAUCCCUGGGUCGGGAA